UACGUAGGGUGCGAGCGUUAAUCGGAAUUACUGGGCGUAAAGCGUGCGCAGGCGGUUCGUUAUGUCCGUUGUGAAAGCCCCGGGCUCAACCUGGGAAUGGCAUUGGAAACUGGCGGACUCGAGUGUGGCAGAGGGGGGUGGAAUUCCGCGUGUAGCAGUGAAAUGCGUAGAGAUGCGGAGGAACACCGAUGGCGAAGGCAGCCCCCUGGGCUAACACUGACGCUCAGGCACGAAAGCGUGGGGAGCAAACAGG
RNAcentral lists this ribosomal RNA (253 nucleotides) under uncultured bacterium. Its description in RNAcentral is "partial 16S ribosomal RNA". It matches the Rfam family "Bacterial small subunit ribosomal RNA", at positions 524 to 776 of the family's 1533-position model. The record is from RNAcentral.